GCACUUUAAGCAGUGAAGAAGACUCCGUGGUUAAUACCCACGGACGAUGACAUUAGCUGCAGAAUAAGCACCGGCUAACUCUGUGCCAGCAGCCGCGGUAAUACAGAGGGUGCAAGCGUUAAUCGGAAUUACUGGGCGUAAAGGGAGCGUAGGUGGCUCUAUAAGUCAGAUGUGAAAUCCCCGGGCUCAACCUGGGAACUGCAUCUGAAACUGUAGAGCUAGAGUAGGUGAGAGGGAGGUAGAAUUUCAGGUGUAGCGGUGAAAUGCGUAGAGAUCUGAAGGAAUACCGAUGGCGAAGGCAGCCUCCUGGCAUCAUACUGACACUGAGGCUCGAAAGCGUGGGUAGCAAACAGGAUUAGAUACCCUGGUAGUCCACGCCGUAAACGAUGUCUACUAGUCGUUGG
RNAcentral lists this ribosomal RNA (404 nucleotides) under uncultured bacterium. RNAcentral's name for it is "bacterial SSU rRNA". It matches the Rfam family "Bacterial small subunit ribosomal RNA", at positions 430 to 826 of the family's 1533-position model. The record is from RNAcentral.